CCUACGGGGUGCUGCAGUGGGGGAUAUUGCACAAUGGGGGGAACCCUGAUGCAGCGACGCCGCGUGGGUGAAGAAGCGCCUCGGCGCGUAAAGCCCUGUCAGCAGGGAAGAAAAUGACGGUACCUGAAGAAGAAGCCCCGGCUAACUACGUGCCAGCAGCCGCGGUAAUACGUAGGGGGCAAGCGUUAUCCGGAUUUACUGGUUGUAAAGGGGGCGCAGACGGCGAUGCAAGCCAGGAGUGAAAGCCCGGGGCUCAACCCCGGGACUGCUCUUGGAACUGCGUGGCUGGAGUGCAGGAGGGGCAGGCGGAAUUCCUGGUGUAGCGGUGAAAUGCGUAGAUAUCAGGAGGAACACCGGUGGCGAAGGCGGCCUGCUGGACUGCAACUGACGUUGAGGCCCGAAAGCGUGGGGAGCAAACAGGAUUAGAUACCCCAGUAGUC
This 440-nucleotide ribosomal RNA is filed under the name uncultured bacterium. RNAcentral's name for it is "partial 16S ribosomal RNA". It matches the Rfam family "Bacterial small subunit ribosomal RNA", at positions 338 to 795 of the family's 1533-position model. The record is from RNAcentral.